Coregonus clupeaformis (lake whitefish) is the source of this 289-nucleotide long non-coding RNA. RefSeq lists it as uncharacterized. The transcript is spliced from 2 exons. NCBI's taxonomy places the organism in Eukaryota, Metazoa, Chordata, Actinopteri, Salmoniformes, Salmonidae. The record is from RefSeq and is a predicted model, not a curated record.
AAGGUUAUCUUUCGAAAGAUUGCCUGGUUACCCCACUGUGCGCUUCGGGACACAACGCCGGUGGGUGUCCGACGGUCAGAGAUGCCAAUCCCAACAGCCAGACCUUGGUGAUUUACCGUGGAGGAGCCAUUAGCACACAGCGACCGUCGGACAACAAGAACAUCACAUGGGAAGACUAUCCACCAAUAGCACAUCGUAGUUCGCCGUUUUUUCCUGCGACUGCAAAUAGGAAUGUGUGUCUGUAAUGUCUGAAAUUGACUGAGAAUUAAACAAGAAAGGCUGUUAUGGA